Molecule: long non-coding RNA, 148 nt
Organism: Mauremys reevesii (Reeves's turtle)
Lineage: Eukaryota; Metazoa; Chordata; Testudines; Geoemydidae
Exons: 3
Source: RefSeq, a predicted model, not a curated record
AGCGUGGCCCUGUUCUGCCAGGCGCUGCAGAGACCCCAGGCUACAGACUAACGUCCACGUUUGAUCCAGAUCAUCCCAUCCUCCCAGGGGGCAGGAAAUGGCUGCAGUGGAGCUGGCUCAGGGGCCAGUGACCUUCAAGGAGGUGGCU